RNAcentral lists this ribosomal RNA (432 nucleotides) under Physarum hongkongense. RNAcentral describes it as "SSU rRNA". It matches the Rfam family "Eukaryotic small subunit ribosomal RNA", at positions 1230 to 1644 of the family's 1831-position model. The record is from RNAcentral. Lineage: Eukaryota; Evosea; Eumycetozoa; Physariida; Physaraceae.
ACACGUAUGAAAGUCAAGCUGAAAGACUUUACUCAAUGAUGUAAGUGGUGGUGCAUGGUCGUUCUUAGUUCGUGGAUUGAUUUGUCUGGUCUAUUCCGAUAACGAGCGAGACCCCAACGUUCCUAAUAGGGGGGGCAGCCCGGCCGGUCCCGCAAGGGGCUGGUCAGCGGCCCCCUAAGAUUUCUACUUCUUAGACGUAUCAGAGCCGAUAAGGUUCUUGAAAUGGGUUAAUAACAGGUCAGUCAUGCCCUUAGAUGUUCUGGGCCGCACGCGCGUUACAAUGGCAUGUAAAGAAGGUGCUUCUCCAAAGGCGUAUCCGGGGUCGAAAGGCCCUGGUAACCCUUAGUCCCUGCCUUGACUGGGACAGAUCUUUGCAAUUAUUGGUCUCUAACGAGGAAUUUUUAGUAAGCACAGGUCAUUAACCUGUGCUGA